UCGAUUCCCUUAGUAGCGGCGAGCGAAACGGGAAGAGCCCAAACCAACAAGCUUGCUUGUUGGGGUUGUAGGACACUCUAUACGGAGUUACAAAGGACGACAUUAGACGAAUCAUCUGGAAAGAUGAAUCAAAGAAGGUAAUAAUCCUGUAGUCGAAAAUGUUGUCUCUCUUGAGUGGAUCCUGAGUACGACGGAGCACGUGAAAUUCCGUCGGAAUCUGGGAGGACCAUCUCCUAAGGCUAAAUACUCUCUAGUGACCGAUAGUGAACCAGUACCGUGAGGGAAAGGUGAAAAGCACCCCGGAAGGGGAGUGAAAUAGAACCUGAAACCGUGUGCUUACAAGUAGUCAGAGCCCGUUAAUGGGUGAUGGCGUGCCUUUUGUAGAAUGAACCGGCGAGUUACGAUUUGAUGCAAGGUUAAGCAGUAAAUGUGGAGCCGUAGCGAAAGCGAGUCUGAAUAGGGCGUUUAGUAUUUGGUCGUAGACCCGAAACCAGGUGAUCUACCCUUGGUCAGGUUGAAGUUCAGGUAACACUGAAUGGAGGACCGAACCGACUUACGUUGAAAAGUGAGCGGAUGAACUGAGGGUAGCGGAGAAAUUCCAAUCGAACCUGGAGAUAGCUGGUUCUCUCCGAAAUAGCUUUAGGGCUAGCCUCAAGUGAUGAUUAUUGGAGGUAGAGCACUGUUUGGACGAGGGGCCCCUCUCGGGUUACCGAAUUCAGACAAACUCCGAAUGCCAAUUAAUUUAACUUGGGAGUCAGAACAUGGGUGAUAAGGUCCGUGUUCGAAAGGGAAACAGCCCAGACCACCAGCUAAGGUCCCAAAAUAUAUGUUAAGUGGAAAAGGAUGUGGCGUUGCCCAGACAACUAGGAUGUUGGCUUAGAAGCAGCCAUCAUUUAAAGAGUGCGUAAUAGCUCACUAGUCGAGUGACACUGCGCCGAAAAUGUACCGGGGCUAAACAUAUUACCGAAGCUGUGGAUUGUCCUUUGGACAAUGGUAGGAGAGCGUUCUAAGGGCGUUGAAGCAUGAUCGUAAGGACAUGUGGAGCGCUUAGAAGUGAGAAUGCCGGUGUGAGUAGCGAAAGACGGGUGAGAAUCCCGUCCACCGAUUGACUAAGGUUUCCAGAGGAAGGCUCGUCCGCUCUGGGUUAGUCGGGUCCUAAGCUGAGGCCGACAGGCGUAGGCGAUGGAUAACAGGUUGAUAUUCCUGUACCACCUAUAAUCGUUUUAAUCGAUGGGGGGACGCAGUAGGAUAGGCGAAGCGUGCGAUUGGAUUGCACGUCUAAGCAGUAAGGCUGAGCUGUGAUGGGGAGAAGACAUUGUGUCUUCGAGUCGUUGAUUUCACACUGCCGAGAAAAGCCUCUAGAUAGAAAAUAGGUGCCCGUACCGCAAACCGACACAGGUAGUCAAGAUGAGAAUUCUAAGGUGAGCGAGCGAACUCUCGUUAAGGAACUCGGCAAAAUGACCCCGUAACUUCGGGAGAAGGGGUGCUCUUUAGGGUUAACGCCCAGAAGAGCCGCAGUGAAUAGGCCCAAGCGACUGUUUAUCAAAAACACAGGUCUCUGCUAAACCGUAAGGUGAUGUAUAGGGGCUGACGCCUGCCCGGUGCUGGAAGGUUAAGAGGAGUGGUUAGCUUCUGCGAAGCUACGAAUCGAAGCCCCAGUAAACGGCGGCCGUAACUAUAACGGUCCUAAGGUAGCGAAAUUCCUUGUCGGGUAAGUUCCGACCCGCACGAAAGGCGUAACGAUUUGGGCACUGUCUCAACGAGAGACUCGGUGAAAUCAUAGUACCUGUGAAGAUGCAGGUUACCCGCGACAGGACGGAAAGACCCCGUGGAGCUUUACUGUAGCCUGAUAUUGAAAUUCGGCACAGCUUGUACAGGAUAGGUAGGAGCCUUUGAAACGUGAGCGCUAGCUUACGUGGAGGCGCUGGUGGG
RNAcentral lists this ribosomal RNA (1932 nucleotides) under Staphylococcus aureus. Its description in RNAcentral is "partial 23S ribosomal RNA". It matches the Rfam family "Bacterial large subunit ribosomal RNA", at positions 231 to 2196 of the family's 2925-position model. The record is from RNAcentral. Lineage: Bacteria; Bacillati; Bacillota; Bacilli; Caryophanales; Staphylococcaceae.